RNAcentral lists this ribosomal RNA (548 nucleotides) under uncultured bacterium. Its description in RNAcentral is "partial 16S ribosomal RNA". It matches the Rfam family "Bacterial small subunit ribosomal RNA", at positions 355 to 895 of the family's 1533-position model. The record is from RNAcentral.
UAGGGANUCUUCGGCAAUGGGGGCAACCCUGACCGAGCAACGCCGCGUGAGUGAAGAAGGUUUUCGGAUCGUAAAGCUCUGUUGUAAGUCAAGAACGAGUGUGAGAGUGGAAAGUUCACACUGUGACGGUAGCUUACCAGAAAGGGACGGCUAACUACGUGCCAGCAGCCGCGGUAAUACGUAGGUCCCGAGCGUUGUCCGGAUUUAUUGGGCGUAAAGCGAGCGCAGGCGGUUUGAUAAGUCUGAAGUUAAAGGCUGUGGCUCAACCAUAGUUCGCUUUGGAAACUGUCAAACUUGAGUGCAGAAGGGGAGAGUGGAAUUCCAUGUGUAGCGGUGAAAUGCGUAGAUAUACGGAGGAACACCGGUGGCGAAAGCGGCUCUCUGGUCUGUAACUGACGCUGAGGCUCGAAAGCGUGGGGAGCGAACAGGAUUAGAUACCCUGGUAGUCCACGCCGUNNNGAUGAGUGCUAGGUGUUGGAUCCCUUCCGGGAUUCAGUGNCGCAGCUAANNCAUUAANCACUCCGCCUGGGGAGUACNANCNCAAGGUU